RNAcentral lists this long non-coding RNA (211 nucleotides) under Mytilus galloprovincialis (Mediterranean mussel). The record is from RNAcentral. Lineage: Eukaryota; Metazoa; Mollusca; Bivalvia; Mytilida; Mytilidae.
UUUCUGUUUGAUUAUAGGUUUAUGCUGAAUUGAAACAUAUAUAUAGAUUUAAAAAAAAUCUUGCAUCUUUUUGGGGAUAUCAAUCCAGGAAAGUGGAAUGAUUUCAGGUUUACUGGAAGUGGUGCGGCCUAGUGAAAACAGCAAACAGAAAGUAGAAAAAAAUGUUUUGACUUCAGGUUUACGUAACUUUUUAUUCUUCGUGGCAUGACCC